This 338-nucleotide RNase P RNA is filed under the name chicken gut metagenome. RNAcentral describes it as "Bacterial RNase P class A". It matches the Rfam family "Bacterial RNase P class A". From Rfam's summary of the family: Ribonuclease P (RNase P) is a ubiquitous endoribonuclease, found in archaea, bacteria and eukarya as well as chloroplasts and mitochondria. Its best characterised activity is the generation of mature 5'-ends of tRNAs by cleaving the 5'-leader elements of precursor-tRNAs. Cellular RNase Ps are ribonucleoproteins. The record is from RNAcentral.
AGCGGACUGAGCAGUCGCGUGCCCGGCGACGGGUAUGAGGAAAGUCCGAGCUCCACAGGGCAGGAUAACGGCUAACGGCCGCCGGGGGCGACCCUAGGGAAAGUGCAACAGAGAUAUACCGCCUGGAAUAUUUUUUCAGGUAAGGGUGGAAAGGCGAGGUAAGAGCUCACCAGCAUAUAGGAGACUAUAUGGCUCUGCAAACCCUAUCCGGAGCAACACCAAAGAAAGACUAUACGUUUGCCCGACGUGUCUUGAAAAGGUGGCGUUGAGCUUUAGUGGCAACACAAGGCCAAGAUAGAUAACUGUUCUCGACAGAACUCGGCUUAUAGGUCUGGUCU